GUGAAUCAUCGAAUUUUUGAACGCAAAUUGCACUCGCCUCGGAGAGUGUGCCUGUUUGAGGGUCAGCGUAUUUAAAAUCGACAUCGUUGCUGUUUCGCGGUGGCGCUCUUCGGCAAUUGGGUCCUCUUAAAUCCUUUUGAUUUAUGCGUCUUAAAAUUUUUUUUUGGUUCCAUGAACGUUUCUAAGAUCUAUUUCGUUUCACGUUUAAGGUAUCGAUUUUUUAUUGACGUGACCAUCAUAUCAGAUAGCGUUCAUAAUCGUAC
Molecule: unclassified non-coding RNA, 263 nt
Filed under: Glomus sp.
Lineage: Eukaryota; Fungi; Glomeromycota; Glomeromycetes; Glomerales; Glomeraceae
Description: partial contains 5.8S ribosomal RNA and internal transcribed spacer 2
Rfam family: 5.8S ribosomal RNA (bases 1-65)
Source: RNAcentral